CAAACACGCCACUUUCCUCCCUGCGUGCAGAUCAGCAGCUGCACUGCUGUUCUUCUCCUCCUCCAUUUUCCACUCCAAAAACUUCAUUUCAUCAUAACUUUUUCAUCGCGCAAGGUCGGAGCCUAUAGAUUCGUAUCGGCCAAUACCGCCGGAAUUUGGUCUCCGCCCAAGAGAGAAAGUUGAUCCUCUCCCGAUGAUCUUUCUAGCUAUCUCUUCAAUUUUCUCUGUCAGAAUCUCUGCAGAAAAAAAAGUUGAUUUUCUUUUUAGUUUUUGGUUUGUGGGUUUUUAAUUUUAUGAUUGUUUGUGCAGGUAAAGGAAGAAGCCAGAAGCACUGAAGGACUUGAUAGGAGCUCCCUUCAUUGGGUUAGAGAGUCCCCAGUUUCAGUCGACCGGGAAAAGAUUAGCAAAGGGAUUGUUAUUUCAACAUUGCUGAUUUGCUUUGCUGUGAGAGCAAAAUGGUCACGCGUGGUCUUCACCGACUCAAUUUCAUUUAUGCACAGUUUUCUUCGUUCUCGAUGUUUUGUCUCGCUUUGUGCUUUUGGUUAUCUUGAAUUAUGUGCAUUUUGUCUUUGUUAUGAUGGUGACCGGUGGAACAUACAACUUUUGCAGUAUGAUUUUGGGGGAAGAAAGGAUUUGGUUAAAUUUGUGAAGACAGUAGCAGAAGCUGGCCUGUAUGUGCACCUUCGAAUUGGUCCAUAUGUGUGCGCAUAGUGGAACUACGGUGGCUUUCCUCUUUGGUUGCAUUUCAUACCCGGAAUUCGGUUGCGAACGGACAAUGAGCCGUUCAAGGCAGAAAUGCAGCGGUUCACGAAAAAAAUUGUUGAUAUGAUGAAGGAGAAGCUUUAUGCAUCUCAGGGAGGACCCAUCAUUUUAUCCCAGAUUGAAAACGAGUAUGGAAACAUUGAUGAGCCAAAAUGUGGUACAAAAUGAUGGUUACGAAAAUGCCUACUUUUCUCAUCAAGAUCUUUUAACCGAGUAGGCACAAUCAGUGACCGAAGCUCUCUAUAACGACUUGGUCAUCGACCUGCUUUUAAACGUUCAUAUACAAUGUAAAAGCAUCAAAUUUAUUCUGAAUGCAACUUAGGAUUGUAGCUUUUACUUAGCAGGUGGAAAAGUUGCGUGUUAAAGUGGCAAACCCAUCACUGAUAUGUUCAUAGCAUGCUAAUUUUUGAAAGUUGUUUAUUUCUUUUAUGAAAAGGGGACCAUCAUGAUAGUUCACUAUUUCGAUAGCUGGGAAGACUUAUAGAGGGUGUGCCAACUCGUCGGCCGAGCUCGGUUGGGGAGUAAAAUAUGUUGAUGUUGUGUUGUUGACUUCUCGAUUUUACGACCACAGUUGAGGAAGGAACACGUCUCAACGUUUGGGUUAUAGAGUCUGAAGACAAGGCUACUAGUCUUGCGAAGUUCAUAGAUCGUUGGUGCCGGGUUCGGUCACGGUGAUUAUAUUUGUAAGAGUAUAAGCACGUCGAACUGACACCAAAUUAUACGGACACAAAUACUCGAACGAAAUGUAUGUCUUGAUGGUAAAUGUGGUUUGGUCGUCAGAAUGUCGAACUCUAAAACUUACUUGUAAAUAUCCAAUCAUAAACAACUCGGCGUUCAAUAUGCUGAGCCCAGUAACUUAUAACA
This is a non-coding RNA of Malus domestica (apple), 1626 nucleotides long. Lineage: Eukaryota; Viridiplantae; Streptophyta; Magnoliopsida; Rosales; Rosaceae. The record is from RefSeq and is a predicted model, not a curated record.